Long non-coding RNA from Pseudophryne corroboree (corroboree frog), 907 nucleotides. RefSeq lists it as uncharacterized. The record is from RefSeq and is a predicted model, not a curated record. The transcript has 3 exons. NCBI's taxonomy places the organism in Eukaryota, Metazoa, Chordata, Amphibia, Anura, Myobatrachidae.
GCACCCCCGUGUUGGCUCCGUCUGACAGGUCCGGUUUCCAUGGUUACGGAGUACUUGCGGUAACUAGGCAACGACGCAAGGGGCUAGAGUUCACGUCACCGCUGCGGCCCACGUGACCGGAACUGAGUGCAGCCGCGGCUUCCGGCCUCGGGAUGCCGGCCGGCGGGAGCGCACGGGGAGGACCUCGCAUGGAUUCAGAGGGCACCCCCGUGUUGGCUCCGUCUGACAGGUCCGGUUUCCAUGGUUACGGAGUACUUGCGGUAACUAGGCAACGACGCAAGGGGCUAGAGUUCACGUCACCGCUGCGGCCCACGUGACCGGAACUGAGUGCAGCCGCGGCUUCCGGCCUCGGGAUGCCGGCCGGCGGGAGCGCACGGGGAGGACCUCGCAUGGAUUCAGAGGGCACCCCCGUGUUGGCUCCGUCUGACAGGUCCGGUUUCCAUGGUUACGGAGUACUUGCGGUAACUAGGCAACGACGCAAGGGGCUAGAGUUCACGUCACCGCUGCGGCCCACGUGACCGGAACUGAGUGCAGCCGCGGCUUCCGGCCUCGGGAUGCCGGCCGGCGGGAGCGCACGGGGAGGACCUCGCAUGGAUUCAGGUAUUUAUACCCCUAAGGAAAGUUGUUUUAGACAUGUAUGAUAUUGCUGAUUGUCACGUUGCACUUUUUGAAGCAUAGCACCUUGAGAAAAACGCCGGAUGGGCGUUGAAACGUCGGUGGCUUGCACUAUGCUGUACUAAUUUAUUUGCACUGUCAUUUUAAUACAAAGACCUUUUGCUUGCACCAAAUCCUUGGAGUGCCGCCUGGUUUCCUUCUGUAUGGACAAAAAUUGAAGGUACCCCCUGUUGUUCUAUACUAUUUGGAGGAGGGCACCCAGGUGGAUGACAGUUUGAAUGGGAGUGCCAUA